AUUACAAAUGGGCACAACCUCUUAGCAGCAGUUUCCCUAGGCUUUCUGACUUUUUCACAAUGCUUGGUUUCUUCAUGCAAAUGGCACACUUAUCACAGCCUCUUUAAAGCACCAUAGAAAGGGACGUGUCUCCAUACAGAUUCAAAUUGGCCAACGAAAAAGUGCACCAGACAGGACUUCUGCUGCAUCCACAGAGAAGUGACUGAAGCAAAGGCAAUUUAGACUUACCAGGAAUGUAAACAGUUGAAAAAAAUAACAUCACAACUGAGGAAAUUUUCACUUCAUAUAUUUCCUUCAUUGGCAUACACAAGGUGUUUCAGAUCAGGAAACCAUGAGCUGGUUUUCUCCAAUUCUGGAAAACUGGAUCAGUUUUCCUUUUUUGGAAGAAUAUCUGACCUCAGUGGUUCACCCUUUGUGGUUACUUAUGCUUCUGAUUUUACUUUAUUCACCAAAGGUAGGGUUUUUUAAAUUUCUCUGUGCUUUCUCAUUUCUGUUGCAUAUUUACAAGAAGAUGAAUAACCAGCAAGAAAGUGAUAGCAAACUUUGGGAGAAACCAAGGAAACUUGUUGCUCUAGUUUCUGAUAUAGUUGGAAAGAUAUGCUUUGGUUAUGAAGUUAUUGGCAUGGAACAUAUCCCUAAAGGACCAGGGGUUAUUGUUUAUUAUCACGCAGUCACUUCUACUGACUAUUCCCUUUUAUUGGGUAAACUUUUUAAGGAGACACAGAGAAAGUGCUAUUCAGUAGUUGAUCAUGCCGUAUAUCACAUACCAGGUAAAUUAUUCAAUUUAAAUCAUGCUCUUUUUUUUACAAAAAAUGUGUGAAUUAUUACAUAAAACAAUGCUAUAAAAUAUAAAACCAUUUUAUCAGGCAAACAGGUGAAAAACAACAGACAAAUAAAAUAUCAGCAAGAGGUGAAAUAGUAAGUUGGUAGAGAGGAAGGUUCUUUCUCACCAAGACUUUACAGAAUGAAUGCAGGAUGAACCAUUAUUUCCAAACAAACAAACAAAAAAUCCUUCCAGCAGCACCUUAGAGACCAACAAAGUUUGUCAUUGGUAUGAGCAUUGGUAUGCAUGCACAUGAAAGCUUAUACCAAUGACAAACUUAGUUGGUCUCUAAGGUGCUACUGGAAGGAUAUUUUUUUUUUGCUUUGACUAUGUCAGACCAACACAGCUACCUACCUGUAACUAGCAUUAUUUCCAAAUCAUUCCUUAAUUAUUAAAUUUGUACGUUUCUGAGCACAGUUCAAAGUGUUGGUGCUGACCUUUUAAUCCCUAAAGGGCCUCGGUCCAGUAUACCUGAAGGAGCGACUCCACCCCCCAUCGUUCUGCUCGGACACUGAGGUCCAGUACCAAGGGCCUUCUGGCGGUUCCCUUGUUGCGAGAAGCCAAGUUGCAGGGAACCAGGAAGAGGGCCUUCUCGGUGGUGGCGCCCGCCCUGUGGAAUGCCCUCCCACCAGAUGUCAAAGGGAAAAACAACUAAUUUUUAGAAGACAUCUGAAGGCAGCCCUGUUUAGGGUGGCUUCCAACAGAAAAAUGGAAUAAAAUCUAUUUUUCUGUUGGAAGCCACCCAGAGUGGCUGGGGAAACACAGCCAGAUGGUCGGGGUACAAAUAAAUUAUUAUUAUUAUUAUUAUUAUUUAGCUUCCUUCAAGUGUCUGUAAAUCAAAUUUAACAAGCCAAAUAAAAAUAUAGUUGGAAAGGAAGUUCCCUAAGACAGGAAGAAUCAGGUCACCCCAUUUUCCCGGCCAUGUUUACAGGCAGCACAGCCUCAGAGAAAAGGACUAGAAGGAAUAGUUCUUCCUUGUUCCUAGAAUCGUGGGCACUUGACUUGACAAGCACACAAUGGCCCAACCAGCUCAGUGUCCACAGUAAUGUGCAUGUGCAGCCCAAAUGGUACCCUCAAUGACCCAACACAAGACACUGCAAGGGGAUCAAAGAGUGCCCUUAACUGAAUACACUAUGGUUCUUUACCCCACCAUCUCCUAACAUGUUUCCUGCCUGGACUAACAGCCACUGGAGGAGAACAGCACCAGCUAGUUCACCUCCUGCCAAGAACAAUCAUGAGCUCAAAAAGAGCUCUUUGCAGAUCAAGCAAGAAAUAAUUGCAGGCUUCAUUUUAUAGCGACAAAAAUGAGGAAGAUCAUGAUGGAUGUGACCAUGGGGAAUGUAAGCCGAAAUAAAACUCUUAACCAAGUGUUGAUCUUUCAUUGUACCCUACCCAUGCUGUUGGGGCAAUCCAAUCAAAGCAUGCCUCACUUCAUUUCCCAGUGACAAGUUUCCCUGACAGAUUCCCAUCUGAGUUACAACAGUGGAUGAGCCAAGAAUGAGAUGGAGUGUCCACACAAAAAAGGAAGUUGGGAGCUGCAGGCUUGCUUUUGGCCAUUUACAGCCUCAACCUCUUCUUCCAAUAAUGUUUCAGGCAUCUUAUUUGAAUCAGGCUAUGAUUCCAAUAAAGCAUGUCGACCUGGGUCUUUUGGCCCAUGAUCACAGAUUGCAGGAAUACCUUAUCUGACCUCAAAACAGCUAUGAGGGUACUUUUUUUUGUACUCUAAUAAUCACAAGGCAUUUCCUGUGCUUCCAUGCAGAAAAUCCGUGUUUAGUUGUAUCACUGUCUACAGGGAUCCAAAAAAUAGGGCCAUCUAGAUAUUGUGACAUCUGAUUUUUGUGCUGUGACUGCAGAUAAUUGCUGCUGACUUUAAUGCCAGAAGAGGACAAGGUGUAGGAAAUAGGGUCUCUAACUUGAUGAUUUCUUCAGGUACAAAGAUACCAGAAAACAUGGCCCCACCCGAACACAUGGCCAAUCAAGCACUUCCACACCCAUCUUUUAUGCCCCCAUGUGACACUGCAAUCAAACACAUGUGGCACCCUUGCUGUAGUGUUCAUGGCCCUCUGCUGCCACUCCAUACCUGCCAAGUUCCUGCCCGAGAAAUAAGGGACCGGAUUGGAAGUAGAAGAC
This is a non-coding RNA of Zootoca vivipara (common lizard), 2953 nucleotides long. NCBI's taxonomy places the organism in Eukaryota, Metazoa, Chordata, Lepidosauria, Squamata, Lacertidae. The record is from RefSeq and is a predicted model, not a curated record.